This 465-nucleotide ribosomal RNA is filed under the name uncultured bacterium. RNAcentral describes it as "partial 16S ribosomal RNA". It matches the Rfam family "Bacterial small subunit ribosomal RNA", at positions 28 to 507 of the family's 1533-position model. The record is from RNAcentral.
GACGAACGCUGGCGGCGUGCUUAACACAUGCAAGUCGAACGGAAAGGCCCCUUUGGGGGUACUCGAGUGGCGAACGGGUGAGUAACACGUGAGUAACCUGCCCUUGACUUCGGGAUAACUUCAGGAAACUGGGGCUAAUACCGGAUAGGAAUCCUUGCUGCAUGGUGGGGGUUGGAAAGCUUCGGCGGUUUUGGAUGGACUCGCGGCUUAUCAGCUUGUUGGUGGGGUAGUGGCUUACCAAGGCUUUGACGGGUAGCCGGCCUGAGAGGGCGACCGGCCACAUUGGGACUGAGAGACGGCCCAGACGCCUACGGGGGGCAGCAGGGGGGAAUAUUGCACAAUGGGCGGGAGCCUGAUGCAGCAACGCCGCGGGCGGGAUGACGGGCUUCGGGUUGUGAACCGCUUUCAGCAGGGGCGAAGCUUGUGGUGACGGUACCUGCAGAAGAAGCACCGGCUAACUACGUG